Non-coding RNA from Stegodyphus mimosarum, 73 nucleotides. The record is from Rfam. Lineage: Eukaryota; Metazoa; Arthropoda; Arachnida; Araneae; Eresidae.
GCCAUCGUGAUGUAAUGGUCAGCACACUCGUCUCGUAAUCAAGAGGUCCGAGGUUCGAAUCCCGGCGAGGGCA